AGAGUUUGAUCAUGGCUCAGGACGAACGCUGACGGUGUGCUUUAGGCAUGCAAGUCGAACGAGAAAGCCCUUAGGGGUGAGUAAAGUGGCGAACGGGUGAGUAACACGUGGGCAACCUGCCCCUCGCAGGGGGACAACCGGAGGAAACUCCGGCUAAUACCUCGUACGCUUGUUGGAUCGCAUGGUCCGGCAAGGAAAGGUAGCUUCGGCCAUCCGGCGAGGGAUGGGCCCGCGUUGCAUUAGCUAGAUGGCGGGGUAACGGCCCACCAUGGCGACGAUGCUUAGGGGACCUGAGAGGGUGAUCCCCCACACUGGCACUGAGAUACGGGCCAGACUCCUACGGGAGGCAGCAGUAGGGAAUAUUGGGCAAUGGGCGAGAGCCUGACCCAGCCAUGCCGCGUGCCGGAUGAAGGCCUUCUGGGUUGUAAACGGCUUUUCUCAGGGAAGAAAAAGACCUUGCGAGGUACACUGACGGUACCUGAGGAAUAAGCACCGGCUAACUCCGUGCCAGCAGCCGCGGUAAUACGGAGGGUGCAAGCGUUGUCCGGAUUUAUUGGGUUUAAAGGGUGCGUAGGUGGCUUGUUAAGUCCGGGGUGAAAGCCCACAGCUCAACUGUGGAACUGCCCUGGAUACUGGCGAGCUUGAGUCCAGACGAGGUUGGCGGAAUGGAUGCUGUAGCGGUGAAAUGCAUAGAUAGCAUCCAGAACCCCGAUUGCGUAGGCAGCUGACUAGGCCGGUACUGACACUGAGGCACGAAAGCGUGGGGAGCGAACAGGAUUAGAUACCCCGGUAGUCC
RNAcentral lists this ribosomal RNA (796 nucleotides) under uncultured Hymenobacter sp. RNAcentral describes it as "bacterial SSU rRNA". It matches the Rfam family "Bacterial small subunit ribosomal RNA", at positions 8 to 796 of the family's 1533-position model. Lineage: Bacteria; Pseudomonadati; Bacteroidota; Cytophagia; Cytophagales; Hymenobacteraceae. The record is from RNAcentral.